This 377-nucleotide ribosomal RNA is filed under the name uncultured Lactobacillus sp. RNAcentral describes it as "bacterial SSU rRNA". It matches the Rfam family "Bacterial small subunit ribosomal RNA", at positions 173 to 524 of the family's 1533-position model. The record is from RNAcentral. Lineage: Bacteria; Bacillati; Bacillota; Bacilli; Lactobacillales; Lactobacillaceae.
AUAAAGAAAGCAGAUCGCAUGAUCAGCUUUUAAAAGGCGGCGUAAAGCUGUCGCUAUGGGGAUGGCCCCCGCGGUGCAUUAGCUAGUUGGUAAGGUAAAGGCUUACCAAGGCGAUGAUGCAUAGCCCGAGUUGAGAGACUGAUCGGCCACAUUGGGACUGAGACACCGGCCCAAAAACUCCUACGGGAGGCAGCAGUAGGGAAUCUUCCACAGUGGACGCAAGUCUGAUGGAGCAACGCCGCGUGAGUGAAGUAAGGUUUUCGGAUCGUAAAGCUCUGUUGUUGGUGAAGAAGGAUAGAGGUAGUAACUGGUCCUUUAUUUGACGGUAAUCAACCAGAAAGUCACGGCUAACUACGUGCCCAGCAGCCGCGGGUAAU